GUGCCCAGCAAAUAGAGCAUGAGACUCUUAUUCUCAGGGCUGUGGGUUCGAGCCCCAGGUUAGGCA
Molecule: non-coding RNA, 66 nt
Organism: Podarcis lilfordi (Lilford's wall lizard)
Lineage: Eukaryota; Metazoa; Chordata; Lepidosauria; Squamata; Lacertidae
Source: the annotation of a GenBank genome assembly